UUAGGAGAAGCUUUAAGAAGCACUUGACUGUUAAUCAAGAGAAGCCUUAGGGCCUCCUGAU
Molecule: transfer RNA, 61 nt
Filed under: Onchidella celtica (Celtic sea slug)
Lineage: Eukaryota; Metazoa; Mollusca; Gastropoda; Systellommatophora; Onchidiidae
Description: tRNA-Asn
Source: RNAcentral